RNAcentral lists this ribosomal RNA (253 nucleotides) under uncultured bacterium. RNAcentral describes it as "partial 16S ribosomal RNA". It matches the Rfam family "Bacterial small subunit ribosomal RNA", at positions 524 to 776 of the family's 1533-position model. The record is from RNAcentral.
UACGGAGGAGGCAAGCGUUAUCCGGAAUUAUUGGGCGUAAAGCGUCCGCAGGUGGCGAUUCAAGUCUGCGGUCAAAGACUGGGGCUUAACCCUGGAAAGGCCGUGGAAACUGAAUAGCUAGAGUGCAGUAGGGGUAGAGGGAAUUCCCGGUGUAGCGGUGAAAUGCGUAGAGAUCGGGAAGAACAUCGGUGGCGAAAGCGCUCUACUGGACCGCAACUGACACUCAGGGACGAAAGCUAGGGGAGCGAAUGGG